GACGAACGCUGGCGGCGUGCCUAAUACAUGCAAGUAGAACGCUGAAGGAGGAGCUUGCUCUUCUGGAUGAGUUGCGAACGGGUGAGUAACGCGUAGGUAACCUGCCUGGUAGCGGGGGAUAACUAUUGGAAACGAUAGCUAAUACCGCAUAACAGUAGAUGUUGCAUGACAUUUGCUUAAAAGGUGCAAUUGCAUCACUACCAGAUGGACCUGCGUUGUAUUAGCUAGUUGGUGGGGUAACGGCUCACCAAGGCGACGAUACAUAGCCGACCUGAGAGGGUGAUCGGCCACACUGGGAGUGAGACACGGCCCAGACUCCUACGGGAGGCAGCAGUAGGGAAUCUUCGGCAAUGGACGGAAGUCUGACCGAGCAACGCCGAGUGAGGGAAGAAGGUUGUCGGAUCGUAAAGCUCUGUUGUAAGAGAAGAACGAGUGUGAGAGUGGAAAGUUCACACUGUGACGGUAUCUUACCAGAAAGGGACGGCUAACUACGUG
RNAcentral lists this ribosomal RNA (495 nucleotides) under uncultured bacterium. Its description in RNAcentral is "partial 16S ribosomal RNA". It matches the Rfam family "Bacterial small subunit ribosomal RNA", at positions 28 to 507 of the family's 1533-position model. The record is from RNAcentral.